This is a long non-coding RNA of Lemur catta (Ring-tailed lemur), 162 nucleotides long. RefSeq lists it as uncharacterized. The record is from RefSeq and is a predicted model, not a curated record. NCBI's taxonomy places the organism in Eukaryota, Metazoa, Chordata, Mammalia, Primates, Lemuridae. The transcript is spliced from 3 exons.
CGUUGACAACAAAAUGUCUCCUUGACUGUAAAAGUUGUAUUCAUCGGGAUUCUCAGUUACAAAUGGCAGAAACCAAACUGCAAUGAGCUCAGGCUCUUCUAACCGCGAGGGAAAAUUCCCAGCUCUGAAACACAUUCGCCCAUUGCACGCUCCAAGGGUUCA